RNAcentral lists this ribosomal RNA (253 nucleotides) under uncultured bacterium. RNAcentral describes it as "partial 16S ribosomal RNA". It matches the Rfam family "Bacterial small subunit ribosomal RNA", at positions 524 to 776 of the family's 1533-position model. The record is from RNAcentral.
GACGUAGGGCGCGAGCGUUGUCCGGAUUUAUUGGGCGUAAAGAGCUCGUAGGCGGCUUGUCGCGUCGUUCGUGAAAACCCGGGGCUCAACUCCGGGCUUGCGGGCGAUACGGGCAGGCUAGAGUUCGGUAGGGGAGAUCGGAAUUCCUGGUGUAGCGGUGAAAUGCGCAGAUAUCAGGAGGAACACCGGUGGCGAAGGCGGAUCUCUGGGCCAUUACUGACGCUGAGGAGCGAAAGCGUGGGGAGCGAACAGG